RNAcentral lists this ribosomal RNA (253 nucleotides) under uncultured bacterium. RNAcentral's name for it is "partial 16S ribosomal RNA". It matches the Rfam family "Bacterial small subunit ribosomal RNA", at positions 524 to 776 of the family's 1533-position model. The record is from RNAcentral.
UACGAAGGGUGCAAGCGUUAAUCGGAAUUACUGGGCGUAAAGCGUGCGUAGGCGGCUAUGUAAGACAGAUGUGAAAUCCCUGGGCUUAACCUAGGAACUGCAUUUGUGACUGCAUUGCUAGAGUGUGGUAGAGGGAGAUGGAAUUCCGCAUGUAGCAGUGAAAUGCGUAGAUAUGCGGAGGAACACCAAUGGCGAAGGCAAUCUCCUGGACCUGCACUGACGCUCAUGCACGAAAGCGUGGGGAGCAAACAGG